Molecule: ribosomal RNA, 641 nt
Filed under: uncultured Bacteroides sp.
Lineage: Bacteria; Pseudomonadati; Bacteroidota; Bacteroidia; Bacteroidales; Bacteroidaceae
Description: bacterial SSU rRNA
Rfam family: Bacterial small subunit ribosomal RNA
Source: RNAcentral
UAGCAUAGAUUGCUGACGACCGGCGCACGGGUGAGUAACACGUAUCCAACCUCCUUUUUACUCGGGGAUAGCCUUUCGAAAGAAAGAUUAAUACCCUUAUAGUAUGUUUUUCCCGUAUGGGAGAACCAUUAAAGUUUUUCGGUAAUCGAUGGGGAUGCGUUCCAUUAGGCAGUUGGUGAGGUAACGGCUCACCAAACCUUCGAUGGAUAGGGGUUCUGAGAGGAAGGCCCCCCACAUUGGAACUGAGACACGGUCCAAACUCCUACGGGAGGCAGCAGUGAGGAAUAUUGGUCAAUGGACGAGAGUCUGAACCAGCCAAGUAGCGUGAAGGAUGACUGCCCUAUGGGUUGUAAACUUCUUUUAUAUGGGAAUAAAGGAGCCUACGUGUAGGUUUUUGUAUGUACCAUACGAAUAAGGAUCGGCUAACUCCGUGCCAGCAGCCGCGGUAAUACGGAGGAUCCAAGCGUUAUCCGGAUUUAUUGGGUUUAAAGGGAGCGUAGGUGGAGGCUUAAGUCAGUUGUGAAAGUUUGCGGCUCAACCGUAAAAUUGCAGUUGAUACUGGGUUUCUUGAGUACAGUAGAGGUGGGCGGAAUUCGUGGUGUAGCGGUGAAAUGCUUAGAUAUCACGAAGAACUCCGAUUG